RNAcentral lists this ribosomal RNA (447 nucleotides) under uncultured bacterium. RNAcentral describes it as "partial 16S ribosomal RNA". It matches the Rfam family "Bacterial small subunit ribosomal RNA", at positions 29 to 523 of the family's 1533-position model. The record is from RNAcentral.
AGCGAACGCUGGCGGCAGGCUUAACACAUGCAAGUCGAGCGCCCCGCAAGGGGAGCGGCAGACGGGUGAGUAACACGUGGGAACGUGCCUUUUGGUUCGGAACAACCCAGGGAAACUUGGGCUAAUACCGGAUAGGCCCUUACGGGGAAAGAUUAAUCGCCAAAAGGUCGGCCCGCGUCUGAUUAGCUAGUUGGUGGGGUAAUGGCCCACCAAGGCUACGAUCAGUAGCUGGUCUGAGAGGAUGAUCAGCCAAAUUGGGACUGAGACACGGCCCAAACUCCUACGGGAGGCAGCAGUGGGGAAUAUUGGACAAUGGGGGCAACCCUGAUCCAGCCAUGCCGCGUGAGUGAUGAAGGCCUUAGGGUUGUAAAGCUCUUUUAGCAGGGAAGAUAAUGACGGUACCUGCAGAGAAAGCCCCGGCUAACUUCGUGCCAGCCGCCGCCGUAA